UGCUUGUCUCAAAGAUUAAGCCAUGCAUGCCUAAGCUGAACUAAAUUAAAGUGAAGCCACGAAUAGCUCAUUACAACAGCCGUUGUUUCUUGGAUCUCCGUAAUACUUGGAUAACUGUGGUAAUUCUAGAGCUAAUACACGCAAUCGAGCUCCGACCGUAAGGAACGAGCGCAUUUAUUAGAACAAAACCAAUCAGUGCUUGCACUGUGGUUUGGUGAAUCUGAAUAACUGAGCAGAUCGCUACGGUCUUGUACCGGCGACGUAUCUUUCAAGUGUCUGCCUUAUCAACUUUCGAUGGUAGUUUAUGUGCCUACCAUGGUUGUAACGGGUAACGGAGAAUUAGGGUUCGACUCCGGAGAGGGAGCCUGAGAAACGGCUACCACUUCCRAGGAAGGCAGCAGGCA
RNAcentral lists this ribosomal RNA (404 nucleotides) under Nematoda environmental sample. Its description in RNAcentral is "SSU rRNA". It matches the Rfam family "Eukaryotic small subunit ribosomal RNA", at positions 29 to 436 of the family's 1831-position model. Lineage: Eukaryota; Metazoa; Nematoda. The record is from RNAcentral.